UAGGGAAUCUUCCGCAAUGGGCGAAAGCCUGACGGAGCAACGCCGCGUGAGUGAUGAAGGUCUUCGGAUCGUAAAACUCUGUUAUUAGGGAAGAACAAAUGUGUAAGUAACUAUGCACGUCUUGACGGUACCUAAUCAGAAAGCCACGGCUAACUACGUGCCAGCAGCCGCGGUAAUACGUAGGUGGCAAGCGUUAUCCGGAAUUAUUGGGCGUAAAGCGCGCGUAGGCGGUUUUUUAAGUCUGAUGUGAAAGUCCACGGCUCAACCGUGGAGGGUCAUUGGAAACUGGAAAACUUGAGUGCAGGAGAGGAAAGUGGAAUUCCAUGUGUAGCGGUGAAAUGCGCAGAGAUAUGGAGGAACACCAGUGGCGAAGGCGACUUUCUGGUCUGUAACUGACGCUGAUGUGCGAAAGCGUGGGGAUCAAACAGG
This 429-nucleotide ribosomal RNA is filed under the name Actinomycetes bacterium. Its description in RNAcentral is "Actinobacteria bacterium partial 16S ribosomal RNA". It matches the Rfam family "Bacterial small subunit ribosomal RNA", at positions 355 to 776 of the family's 1533-position model. Lineage: Bacteria; Bacillati; Actinomycetota; Actinomycetes. The record is from RNAcentral.